This 248-nucleotide long non-coding RNA is filed under the name Theobroma cacao (cacao). RNAcentral's name for it is "long non-coding RNA (TCAC_LNC005215)". The record is from RNAcentral. Lineage: Eukaryota; Viridiplantae; Streptophyta; Magnoliopsida; Malvales; Malvaceae.
GGGACGUCGCGACGGUUGUCAUGGGCUCGAUGAGAGUUUCAGGUUGUGACACCAACAAUUAGAUAUGAUAAUAUAAUUAUUAUUGCAUAUGUAUUUCACAAAGUAUUCUUAACUCAAUUAGAGAAAAAUUUUUAUCAUCCCAAGCGCAUCACACAGGCAGCAAACUAGCAAAAUAAGAAAGCAAGCCUUCUGUCGGGUUUUGAAUUUUUGAUGUGUUGUUUUUAUUGUUUUUAAUGGAAAGAUUGGUG